AUCCGGGUUGCGGACAGUGUCUGGUGGGUAGUUUGACUGGGGCGGUCUCCUCCUAAAGAGUAACGGAGGAGCACGAAGGUUAGCUAAUCCUGGUCGGACAUCAGGAGGUUAGUGCAAAGGCAUAAGCUAGCUUGACUGCGAGAGUGACGGCUCGAGCAGGUGCGAAAGCAGGUCUUAGUGAUCCGGUGGUUCUGAAUGGAAGGGCCAUCGCUCAACGGAUAAAAGGUACUCCGGGGAUAACAGGCUGAUACCGCCCAAGAGUUCAUAUCGACGGCGGUGUUUGGCACCUCGAUGUCGGCUCAUCACAUCCUGGGGCUGAAGUAGGUCCCAAGGGUAUGGCUGUUCGCCAUUUAAAGUGGUACGCGAGCUGGGUUUAGAACGUCGUGAGACAGUUCGGUCCCUAUCUGCCGUGGGCGCUGGAGAAUUGAGGGGGGCUGCUCCUAGUACGAGAGGACCGGAGUGGACGCAUCACUGGUGUUCGGGUUGUCAUGCCAAUGGCAUUGCCCGGUAGCUAAAUGCGGAAGAGAUAAGUGCUGAAAGCAUCUAAGCACGAAACUUGCCCCGAGAUGAGUUCUCCCUGAGACU
This 585-nucleotide ribosomal RNA is filed under the name Citrobacter freundii. RNAcentral's name for it is "partial 23S ribosomal RNA". It matches the Rfam family "Bacterial large subunit ribosomal RNA", at positions 2238 to 2822 of the family's 2925-position model. The record is from RNAcentral. Lineage: Bacteria; Pseudomonadati; Pseudomonadota; Gammaproteobacteria; Enterobacterales; Enterobacteriaceae.